CCCCUGGUCUCACCGGGUCCUUUGGCUUUGCUCCAGGUUCGUCACCUUUUACCCAGGGGAUGUCAUCCUGACUGGGACCCCCCCAGGUGUCGGUGUAUUCAGGAAACCUCCUGUCUUUCUCAAGAAGGGGGAUGAAGUCCAGUGUGAGAUUGAAGAACUAGGUGUCAUCAUCAACAAGGUGGUGUGAUGGCUCCUGCACAGGCCCUGGACAUAGGAUGGGGGCAUCUGCUCCCACUCAGCCUAGCCCAGGGAAAGGCCCAGUGACAGGUAUGGGCAGGUGCCGGCCCGGAAGCCGCCUCUUCUGGGUAGAAGGGAGGAGGACAGAGCUCUCUUCAAUAAAUUUGUCAGGCCAAAGCAGCA
Mandrillus leucophaeus (drill) is the source of this 360-nucleotide long non-coding RNA. RefSeq lists it as uncharacterized. NCBI's taxonomy places the organism in Eukaryota, Metazoa, Chordata, Mammalia, Primates, Cercopithecidae. The transcript has 2 exons. The record is from RefSeq and is a predicted model, not a curated record.